The sequence is a transfer RNA, 91 nucleotides long. It matches the Rfam family "tRNA". From Rfam's summary of the family: Transfer RNA (tRNA) molecules are approximately 80 nucleotides in length. Their secondary structure includes four short double-helical elements and three loops (D, anti-codon, and T loops). The record is from Rfam.
GGCGCUAUAGCCAAGUGGUUACGGCGACAGAUUCGAAACAUGCGAUAUCUGUUCCUCUUUGAGGGCGCAGGUUCAAAUCCUGCUGGCGUCG